CCUACUGCAAAACCAGCCCCAUGUGCUGGCCAAUAUUGAUGAGUUUUAUCAUCUGCGUUUACUGUUACCAACUCAAGAUGCUGAGUGACCUCAUCACCUGGGGGAGGGGUUUACUGUCAAAGAGGCGUGGCAUAUAAAUGGACUCAGUACAGGGGUGAGGAAGAGGGUGGGUGUGGCACACUGAAAACCCACCCACAAACUGCCACUCGGUCCUGACAAGGAUAAGACAGCGGAAAAAGAAGGAAAUGGCAGAUGAGGGAGGGACGGAAGGACUAUUUCCUCUUCAGAAUGUCUUCAAUUGAUUAUUUCUUCUUUUCGAACAUUUGGAGCUUGGUUAUUCUGUUGCAUUUGCUCAGCUUUCUUUGAUAUUUUUGGACUUAAAUCUGAUGGAAACUUGCAUGAUUGAUUUAAAAUAUAUAUAUAAAUACAUAUAACAGACAGAAGAUUUACUGUGGGAAGGGGGGUGAUAGCUCUCUUUUUUCCGUUCAGUUGGAAGUUCUUUCUCUCAUUUUCUCCCUGUUGCUCUCGCCAUGUCUACAGAUCUUUAUGUGCAGAUGGAGUUUAUAGAAUGUGUUUUCUAUGUUAUAUCCAUCUGAGGAUCCCAGAUGAUGUUCUGCACUGUUUAUUAUUACUUUGGAUUGCACUAAAAACGAGCCUGAAUGGUGAAAACUCCCUCAUUACGGCUCUGUCAGCCAUGGCUGCGAACAGAGAGAGAAAAGGGGCGAGAGACGUUCUCCUUUCCGAAGGCUUAAUUUGCUAUUGUCAAUAACAAUAGUUUCAGAAUGGAAACUAUCUUAAUGCAAUUGAUGAAGAUGACGGUGAUGCUGAUGAAGACAGGAGUGGUCAUGUGACUUUGUUGUCUUGUUUUCGAGAUUUUUGUCUGUUGUGGCCAUCUUGUUUCCAACUCUUUGUUUUUAUUUUCGUUCUAUUCACCACAGACUGGAGACUAUAAGGAUGCGCUCCUGGUAGCAUCCUGACGUUUACAUACUUGUGACCUCAGCUGAGUAGAAUAUUCCUAUCUGUAGUGAAUAGUUCGGGUCAGAGCUCAUAAAUGUUUCAAAAAAGAGAGUUGGAGCAUUCAGGAUACCCUCGGGCAGUUUCUGUGUCAGAGUUUUUCAGACAAAUUCAGGGUCCAUUCCAUAUUUAUUUCUCAACAGAAAAACUUGGUCACACAACGGUGUGGUCUGAAGAAACCGUUUUAUUGAGGGACAGUUUUAAACCCCUUGAAUUAUUUCACAGCUAAUGUAGAGUUAGUGCAAGUUAGUAUUUUGGGGGAUGAAUGUUGUUGUUUACUCUUUGUCCAUGUUGUGGUGCUGUUGCACAGCUUAAGCCAGGCUAGACUAUGGACAAACAAUCUCUUAUGAAAAUGCGGUUGCCAGAGGGUGCUUGCAGAACCGUCCCUCGCCAGGUGACGUAGCAGGUCUGUCGAAGCUUGACUCUGACUUUUUCAUCGACAGGAGUUUUUGAGAAUUUUGACCUAGGUAGUCUUUGAUCAAGUAACUGGAAAAGAUUCUUCCACCCUGCCUUCCUGUUCCCUGCCAUGGGCAGCUACUUAUGUCUUUGGCUGCCUGCUCAAUCUGAGACCCUUCCCCCCUUCUGCUCAGGAUACAAAAAUACAGCCAAACAUAUAUCUCACAGGCCUAUUCAGCCUCUCCUGCUGUCACUGAACCCGUCCAGCUGACCCCCACCCAUUGGACCAUCUCAAAACAUCAUAAAAGACCAAAUGUUUAUGAAAUAUCCCAUUACUCUCCAGAGGAGAAUUUUAUUGUGUGUGUGUAGGUUACUCUUUUAUAACUCAGGAGACUUGUGGAGCUCAGUAUCAACUCAAGUAUCAACAUUGUCUCAUGUGUUUCUCCUAAAUCCUUAGAAAAAAUCAAAAUAGACACAGAUAUGACAUAUGUUAAGAUGUGUUAUGAAUAUAUAGCUAUAAAAUUAACGUGGGUAGCAUAUCGUCUUUGGCUUUUGAUUGCAGACGUCUUGUUAGCAAAUCACUGAGCUUGAUUGAAACUCUAGAGGAGACACGUGUGAGAUCUUAAUCUCAGGAGAAAAACUCCAAAAGUCUCCCUUUUAUCUCUAGGAGAUGUUAAAGAGAUCUCAUUUAUAUAUCAGAUAUCAGAAGAAUCAUUAUAUGAAACCACAAGAAUUUGUUAGGUUUUCACUUUAAGCAGAUAAAAAUAUCUCAGAAUAACUCAUUGCAUUCACCUAGUUGUGAAGUCAGUUGGGCGGUUCUGUAUUUUCUUCUUUUCUUACCUUCCUUCUGUCUCAGAGUCAUAUGAAAUCCACACUACUUGUUUUCUUGAAACGGUUUGAAUAGUGUCAUUUCAUUUGAUCCCUUUUCCUCGCCAACCCAUAUCCAAGAUUUUUAGGGAGGAAACCACUGUUUUCUGGGUGUUUAUUGAUGUUUGGCCCAUAUUUACCUACAGGUGGCCCCCAGUUAGCCCCUGGUUUGAUGCCCAUGGGUCUAGAUGAACCUGCAGAGCCACAGUGCCUUCUGUUCUAGUGUCGCACACUAACCCUUCCCCUGCCUCUCUUCCCUCUCCCCUCCUUCUCUCUCUUAAUGUGAUGGACUCACACUACGCCUUAACAAGUCCCUAUGUCUGCGCUUCUGCUGGGCUUUUUAAAGACAGGGACGGUUAUAUGAUGGGGGAAGAUCCAAGUUACUCUGAGAGUAAUAAAGGGAAAUGGCAACCAAGUUCUGUCAGGGUGUCCUUCUCGACUCUCUGUCUCUCUUAGCAAUGCUUCCUCAAGUGGAUGGCAGCCAUUUUUUGAUUUGUCUCACCCUGCUUGUUCAGAGAGUUGCAUCGAACACCGGAGGGAUUGUUCUACUUCUCAGGUCUUUAGCAAAAGGACAGGAAGGCUUAUUUUUGUCAGGCAUGAAGGUUUGUUAGACCUUUUGCAUGGUUAAUAUAAUUCCCAUUUAGAAGUUCUCUUGGUCUUGUAUUCUUUUGCCGAAAACACUUGAAAUGCAGGAAAUUUGCUCCAUUUUAGCUCCAGAUGUUGGAUUAUUAAUACGGUUUGAUUUGUAUUAAUAAUUUUAAAAAAGAGAUAACAGAAGGUUGUGGUUUUUAAAGGAACGGUUCACCCAGAAAAAGGAACAUUCUGUCAUCAUUUACUCACAUCUCAUUCUAAACUAUUAUGAUAUUCUUUCUUCUAUAGAAUAGAAAAGGAGAUAUGUUAAAGAAUUAUUCUAGUUGCUCUUUUCAGUGCCGUUAAAAGGAAUAAGGAUUAAGGCUUUUAAGCUUUGAAAAGGACACAAAAGCACCAUGUAAAAUCUUGCUUUUAAAUAAAGAUUACAAGGACAUUAAUUAUUAACAAAAAAUGAGGUGCAUGGAUAAAUCAUUUAUAAUAAACAUUGCACUAUGUGGCAUGGAUAAAUCAUUUAUAAUAAACAUUGCACUAGUCCAAAGUUUUAUUACUGAAUAAAUCAGCUCAUCUUAGAUUAGAUAAAUGAAUAAAUGAGGGUGAAUAAAUGAAUAAAUCAAGAAUUUCCAGUGUUGGGUCCGCUGUCCCUUUAAGAGUUUACAAAUAUAAUUAAGACUGGUGCGUCAUUCUUUGGCUCUGCUUGUUCAUCAGUUUAGUUCUGACCCUCUUUUGCUGUCAGUGUCAAUGCCUUUAUUGCUUUUUGUUUUUGACUCGCAUCUUCAUUUUCUGUCUUAACAGAAAGCCAUUUUCAGUUUGCAUCAUCGUAGAUACACAACACAAUUGUAUCUGAGCAUGUCGUUUGUUUCGUAUUGUCGUAGUGGAACAAAGCUGUAUUUUCUUUCUGUUUCAUAUGAAAUAAGGGCUUUCCUUCAAUGGUUGAGUGCUGCCAAAACAAGUCACCCUCUAUGUAGCUACACCACUUCCUGUGGUCUCCCUUUGUACAGAACAGAAUUACAUGUGUGUGCAUGCUAAUGUGUGGGGGAACCGGAGAAAAGGGAGGGGGGUGAUGGGUAAUGUAGUUUUUCCCUGUAUGUAUGAGAGUGAGAACUUGAGGCACAGCUGUGGCCAGCACAGGCAAUGUGCAUGCCAAAAAAAAAAAAACACACAAAAAAAAAUCUAAUUAUAUUGUGCACCUAUGGUAAUUUAGUGCUGGGUUUGCCAAUCCAUUUCUGCUCAGCAUUUACCACGGCAUACUCCAUUAUCAUCCUCAUCUGAUCCAAAUCCAAGAUCGGAUACGAAUCCAUCGCCACUUUUUCCAGAAGAUUGGAGGGUUGGGUUCAUCCAUGUGACAGUGGGACGGUCGUCUGUGAGUGUGUGUGUGUGUGUGAACGAGUGUCUGCGAGCUGAUUUGAAGGCAAGUCGUUUUAUAGUGCCUUAAAUGAACAGUUUCCCAUCGCUGUUACACGACCGUAGAUACGAAGCCAUGGCGAAAGCGAAGAGGAUCAUCAUGUUUGUACCUCGACUGUCUAUCCAUGUCUAUUUAAGUUAUUUUGGUGGGCCUAUCAAUCUCUUUCUCUUCUGUAACUCUUGUAUAUCUCAUUCAUAAACUUCCUGCAACACUCUGUGUUUUCAUUCUCUUUCUUCAGCAUUGCCAUGAUCCUUUCUAUUUCAUUUCCUCCUCUUCUUUAUGCAUGUCAUGGUUUCUUCAUUCUAACGUAUUGCUGAUUCAAUAUUGAGCUUAUAUUGAUAAUUAAUACAGAAGAAAUAUCAUUUUCAUAUGUGUUAAUAGUAAUGCUCAUAGUAACAAUAAUUAAAAGAUCGUUAUUACAUAGUCAUAAUUAUAAUAACAUAACACAAUUAUUACACAAUUUGAGUUGCGAGCACAAUUAAAUUUCAUAAUUUACUGUCAUGCCAAUCCAAACCUGCAUGACUUUCUUUCUUCUGUGGAGCACAAAAGAAGAUAUUUCAUAACAAUAUCAGUAUUUUUAGUGUGUACAAUGAUAGUCAUUGGGGUCCAAUGUUGCCGUUUUCUUCAAAAUAUCUUCUUUCCGCAAAUUGAAAGAAAGUCAUACGAUAUUAGGGUGAGUUGAUGACAGUUUUCAGAUUUAAGUGAAAGAUCCCUUUAAGAGAACCAAUGCCAGAAUAGAUACUUUGCUCUCAACUAAAAACAAAAAACCUUGUAGAAUUAAAAGACAGAAAGCAACAGAUUUCACUUAAAAGAGAUUUCAAUGAAUGUUGCGGUUCUGGAUCACAAGACAGGAAGUGCGUUUUCAGCCCCGUCAGCAGGAGUGGGUUUCUUCACAGCACUGUUGAAGGGGAAAUAAGCGUGUGGUGUGAAUGUGUGAGUAUGUGGGGAGUUCCUGCGAGCGUGCAACCACUGUCACCGUGACACCCACAAACCCGUCCAAUCUCUACUUAAUCACCCAUAUCCCACCCGCCAUCCAUAUUACUAUUGACCUGAACCAUUUAAAAGCAAAAGAGGAAGUUUAAAGAGAAAAAAAGACCAUGAUAAAGAGAGGUAUUUAAUUACUGAUUUGCAUGUGCAACGUGCAUGCCACUAUGUGGGUUAACAAGUCAACUUCAGGAAUUAUAAAAUAUAAAAAGAAAUAUAAAGAAAAAGAGUAUAAAUGUAUAAAUAUAUAAAUAUAGUUAGAUGUUUUUAUGAGCAAUGUGUUCCUUUUUUCUUCUAUUUUUAAAAAUGAAAACGACAAAAAAAGAGCACCAAGAGGGGAAAAAAUAAUAAUAAUACAGGAAACAUGAUAAAACUCAUAGAAUGUUUGUUUCUAGUACCAACUGUUCUCUGAGAAGCUUGGGUAAGGUGAGCACACAACAUUCUGUGGAAAUGUAUUACAGAAUUUUGAAAAAAUAAAAAUAGACUCUAAGUAUGAGGGACUGCACAUCACUCUGAUUUAAGAAGAAAUCCAAAACCCUUUUGCUGAUGUUGAGCUGUGAAAGAGGCUGCCUGAACCUGGUGAUGUUAUACAUUUAUUCUGGCUAUGAAAAAUCCCCCCUUUUUCUCUCUCUUCCUCUGUCUCUCUAUCUCUCUGAUAUUUCUACCAGUGCAUUUUGUAAUUCCGAACAGAUCUCUUCCUAAAGAACCUGAAUAAAAACCAGAGAGAAUGCAUUCUAAA
Molecule: long non-coding RNA, 5993 nt
Organism: Carassius carassius (crucian carp)
Lineage: Eukaryota; Metazoa; Chordata; Actinopteri; Cypriniformes; Cyprinidae
Exons: 2
Source: RefSeq, a predicted model, not a curated record